UGCACUGUCUUGGGUAACUCAUCU
This 24-nucleotide non-coding RNA is filed under the name Arabidopsis thaliana (thale cress). The record is from RNAcentral. Lineage: Eukaryota; Viridiplantae; Streptophyta; Magnoliopsida; Brassicales; Brassicaceae.